This 468-nucleotide ribosomal RNA is filed under the name uncultured bacterium. RNAcentral describes it as "partial 16S ribosomal RNA". It matches the Rfam family "Bacterial small subunit ribosomal RNA", at positions 28 to 507 of the family's 1533-position model. The record is from RNAcentral.
GACGAACGCUGGCGGCGUGCUUAACACAUGCAAGUCGAACGGAAAGGCCCUGCUUUUGGGGGGUGCUCGGGUGGCGACCGGGUGAGUAACACGUGAGUAACCUGCCCUUGACUUUGGGAUAACUUCAGGAAACUGGGGCUAAUACCGGAUAGGAGCUCCUGCUGCAUGGUGGGGGUUGGAAAGUUUCGGCGGUUGGGGAUGGACUCGCGGCUUAUCAGCUUGUUGGUGGGGUAGGGGAUUACCAAGGCUUUGACGGGUAGCCGGCCUGAGAGGGUGACAGGCCACAUUGGGACUGAGAUACGGCACAGACUCCUAUGGGAGGCAGCAGUGGGGAAUAUUGCACAAUGGGCGGAAGCCUGAUGCAGCAACGCCGCGUGCGGGAUAACGGCCUUCGGGUUGUAAACCGCUUUCGCCUGUGACGAAGCGUGAGUGACGGUAAUGGGUAAAGAAGCACCGGCUAACUACGUG